RNAcentral lists this ribosomal RNA (460 nucleotides) under uncultured bacterium. Its description in RNAcentral is "partial 16S ribosomal RNA". It matches the Rfam family "Bacterial small subunit ribosomal RNA", at positions 338 to 795 of the family's 1533-position model. The record is from RNAcentral.
GCUACGGGAGGCAGCAGUGAGGAAUAUUGGUCAAUGGGCGCGAGCCUGAACCAGCCAAGUAGCGUGAAGGAUGACUGCCCUAUGGGUUGUAAACUUCUUUUAUAAAGGAAUAAAGUGCGGCACGUGUGCCUUUUUGUAUGUACUUUAUGAAUAAGGAUCGGCUAACUCCGUGCCAGCAGCCGCGGUAAUACGGAGGAUCCGAGCGUUAUCCGGAUUUAUUGGGUUUAAAGGGAGCGUAGAUGGGUUGUUAAGUUAGGUGUGAAAGUUCGCGGCUCAACCGUAGAACUGCAAUUGAUACUGGCAGUCUUGAGUACAGUUGAGGUAGGCGGAAUGCGUGGUGUAGCGGUGAAAUGCUUAGAGAUCACAAAGAACUCCGAUUGCGAAGGCAGCUUACUAAACUGCGACUGACAUUGAUGCUCGAAAGUGUGGGUAUCAAACAGGAUUAGAUACCCUUGUAGUC